Gasterosteus aculeatus aculeatus (three-spined stickleback) is the source of this 1451-nucleotide long non-coding RNA. The record is from Ensembl. NCBI's taxonomy places the organism in Eukaryota, Metazoa, Chordata, Actinopteri, Perciformes, Gasterosteidae.
CUCGUCCAGACGACAUGCUUUUACGAUGAGGAACUGAAGUGAACUCUCCUCUCCCUCCCUUUGUCUUAUUGGGACAUGUAUGGACUGUAGCGCCCCCUCUUGGUCAGACUGGGAGGAGCGCUUUGUCAUACUGAAACCGAAUGAAAGCGCUUUUUUAAAAUGUCCUUUCUAAUGCACCUUUAUCUUUGUUCACAUUCUGUUCCUCUUUUUCUUCAGAGUUGCACUUUUUUUUACAACAAUGAUAGAAUCACCGCCAUAGCAUAUAUAUGUAUAUGUAUGUAUGUAUGUGUAUAUAUAUAUAUAUAUAUAUAUAUAUAUAUACAUAUAUAAUGUGUGUGUGUGUACGUCAAAGUGACAGAUACUUCUAUUUGUGUAACACACUUGUUGUUUGGUCUGCACUAUAUUGAAUCCACUAUCUCAAUUACCUUUUGUAUAGAUAACAAUGAGCCAAUAGAUUACCUUGUGAAACUCCUUGCAGCUCUCUUCAUUAGCUAGUAACAAACUGUGUGGCCAUGCUGAUGAACUAGGACGUCCCAUCAGGGUUGAGGAUUGAGCACCUUCGUAGCCUCAGUAAUUGUCACAAUAUUGAGCCAUCAGACAAAAGGGGGAAAGAGACAAAGAACCCCUAAAUUGUCAAAGAGAGGCCAUGGCCUUUGUAAUUACCUCAACUGUACAUUUAUUUAUUAGAAAAUUUAAUUUGAUCAUAUUAUAGUCAGACACCCCCUUGUUGUCUAAUCUACAGUUCCUGGUAAGCUUUUAGUAUGAUACAGUUGCAGGACAUUUCUAUCAUAGCUUUAAGAAAAAGGCAAAGUAGAAGUGAGCUUUGAGUGACACUUUGAAGUGGAAUUAGUGCUUUUUAGAAACAUCUUCCCUCCAGAUUGUAUUUUAAUUGGGUAUCUGUUCCAUUAUGUACUCGAUAGGUUUGUUAAGUUUUGUCUUUUUAAUGUGCUGUGGACCAACUUUAUAUAGAGAUAAACUAAACACACAGGAUACUUACUGGUAGCUCUAAUGACUUUUUGAUUUGACAUUGUGGAUUUUAAACACUCGGAAUGUCUGAGCACAUUUUGCCAUCUGCAACACAGCAAAAAGAAAUGGAUCACAGGAAUGUGCAUCCAGAGGUUUAAUUUAACAGGGAAGAAGACUAAAACGUUAGUACUAGUGCAAGACGAAACCAUCACAAAACUAAUCAUCUUUACUAACUUUCCCUUCCAAAGUGUUUCGCUUUGAUUUAAGACUGAAAACAACUGACUAUUGAGGCCCAUUUGUCACUGUACCGCAGUAUUCUCUUCAGUCUUCAUUGUACAAACUGUUAAAAAGCAAAGCAAACUGGUUGCACAGCUCUGUGUUUCAUUUCUUUCAGUAGCAUAAUGUAUGCAAAAGGUGUUUUAUAGAUGUUGUAAAUGAAUUUAUUGAUAUAUUGCAUAAAUAAAGACAAGUACACAUGGAGCCAC